RNAcentral lists this ribosomal RNA (449 nucleotides) under uncultured bacterium. Its description in RNAcentral is "partial 16S ribosomal RNA". It matches the Rfam family "Bacterial small subunit ribosomal RNA", at positions 29 to 523 of the family's 1533-position model. The record is from RNAcentral.
AGCGAACGCUGGCGGCAGGCCUAACACAUGCAAGUCGAACGAACUCUUCGGAGUUAGUGGCGGACGGGUGAGUAACACGUGGGAACGUGCCUUUCGGUUCGGAAUAACUCAGGGAAACUUGUGCUAAUACCGAAUGUGCCCUUCGGGGGAAAGAUUUAUCGCCUUUAGAGCGGCCCGCGUCUGAUUAGCUUGUUGGUGGGGUAAUGGCCCACCAAGGCGACGAUCAGUAGCUGGUCUGAGAGGAUGACCAGCCACAUUGGGACUGAGACACGGCCCAAACUCCUACGGGAGGCAGCAGUGGGGAAUCUUGCGCAAUGGGCGAAAGCCUGACGCAGCCAUGCCGCGUGGAUGAUGAAGGUCUUAGGAUUGUAAAAUCCUUUCACCGGUGAAGAUAAUGACUGUAGCCGGAGAAGAAGCCCCGGCUAACUUCGUGCCAGCAGCCGCGGUAA